Molecule: long non-coding RNA, 432 nt
Organism: Puntigrus tetrazona (Sumatra barb)
Lineage: Eukaryota; Metazoa; Chordata; Actinopteri; Cypriniformes; Cyprinidae
Exons: 3
Source: RefSeq, a predicted model, not a curated record
CCGACUUCUCGCUGAUGCUAUAAAACGGCGUGGAGAACAGAAGAGAAGAGUGAGGGGGGAAAAGAUGCUGCAGAAGAUAGCAGGCACAGAGGAGAUGUAUCACACAUGACUCAUCCGUCACUCAACAGAGUUACAUAAGAGAGCCCGUUUUCAUCGUUUGUUGACAACGCCACACAUCCCUGCCGUCCUCGCGCCGGCUUUGAGGAACCGUGUCAAGCGUUCAGCAGCGUGUCUUGGACGGCUGGCGCCCCUUAGCGGUGAGUUUUUUGGGCAGCGCGAAGAAUAAAUGUGACCUAGCUGAACCGUGAGGACAUUUCGAACAUUGCGUCGUGAAGCUGAAAGGCCGAUGCAUGUUUUAUAAAGCUGCGAUUUAAAAGUGCACGCCGUUUUGCUGUUGCUUUGCGGCGUGCUUUCAGAAACCCAUUUAGAUCG